GACGAACGCUGGCGGCGUGCUUAACACAUGCAAGUCGAACGGAAAGGCCCUGCUUUUGUGGGGUGCUCGAGUGGCGAACGGGUGAGUAACACGUGAGUAACCUGCCCUUGACUUUGGGAUAACUUCAGGAAACUGGGGCUAAUACCGGAUAGGAGCUCCUGCUGCAUGGUGGGGGUUGGAAAGUUUCGGCGGUUGGGGAUGGACUCGCGGCUUAUCAGCUUGUUGGUGGGGUAGUGGCUUACCAAGGCUUUGACGGGUAGCCGGCCUGAGAGGGUGACCGGCCACAUUGGGACUGAGAUACGGCCCAGACUCCUACGGGAGGCAGCAGUGGAGAAUCUUGCACAAUGGGCGGAAGCCUGAUGCAGCAGCGCCGCGUGCGGGAUGACGGCCUUCGGGUUGUAAACCGCUUUCGCCUGUGACGAAGCGUGAGUGACGGUAAUGGGUAAAGAAGCACCGGCUAACUACGUG
RNAcentral lists this ribosomal RNA (468 nucleotides) under uncultured bacterium. RNAcentral's name for it is "partial 16S ribosomal RNA". It matches the Rfam family "Bacterial small subunit ribosomal RNA", at positions 28 to 507 of the family's 1533-position model. The record is from RNAcentral.